AAUCAACGCUGGCGCGUGCCUCAGACAUGCAAGUCGAACGCGAAAGGUUCCUUCGGGGACCGAGUAGAGUGGCGCACGGGUGAGUAACACGUAGGUAAUUUGCCUUUGGGUGGGGAAUAACUCAGGGAAACUUGAGCUAAUACCGCAUAAUGCAGCGGCUCGACAUCGAGACAGUUGUUAAAGCGGGGGAUUCGCAAGAACCUCGCGCCUAAAGAGAAGCCUGCGGCAGAUAGCUAGUUGGUAAGGUAAUGGCUUACCAAGGCGACGAUCUGUAACCGGCCUGAGAGGGCGGUCGGUCACACUGACACUGACAUACGGGUCAGACUCCUACGGGAGGCAGCAGUCGGGAAUUUUGGGCAAUGGGCGAAAGCCUGACCCAGCAACGCCGCGUGAAGGAUGAAAUUUUCGGAAUGUAAACUUCGCAAGAACAGGAAAGAAUAAAGUGGGGGACAAUACCCCCCAUGAUGACGGUACUUGUUUGUAGACUCCGGCUAACUCCGUGCCAGCAG
This 509-nucleotide ribosomal RNA is filed under the name uncultured bacterium. RNAcentral's name for it is "bacterial SSU rRNA". It matches the Rfam family "Bacterial small subunit ribosomal RNA", at positions 32 to 514 of the family's 1533-position model. The record is from RNAcentral.